Molecule: non-coding RNA, 283 nt
Filed under: Andrena minutula
Lineage: Eukaryota; Metazoa; Arthropoda; Insecta; Hymenoptera; Andrenidae
Source: RNAcentral
AGGAGUAACAGAAGUGUAAAGCAGGGGGUUUACGAGUGGGCACGACGGUAUCUUGCCGAUACCGAAGCGUGUUGUUGUUUUCUAACCCUAACCCUAAAAUCCGAUCCUCUUUAUCUUAAGAGGAUCUUUCGUGUGUUUAACCCUAAACAAUUGUGUUUGGAUGUUCACACAAAUUGGUUUGUUCGCACUUCUUCCAAGUAAAAAUAAAAUGUCAAGUGUAUUCUCCGUAAACCCCUUAUUUUUGGAAGUUUGAAGAACCUAGAGCUCUUAUCGUUACAUUUUU